GUCUAUGGCCAUGCCACCCUGAAUGUGCCUGAUCUCGUCUGAUCUCAGAAGCUAAACAGGGUGGGGCCUGGUUAGUACUUGGAUGGGAGACCACCUAGGAAGAUCAGGUGCUGUAAGCA
Molecule: ribosomal RNA, 119 nt
Filed under: Pteropus alecto (black flying fox)
Lineage: Eukaryota; Metazoa; Chordata; Mammalia; Chiroptera; Pteropodidae
Source: RNAcentral